This is a long non-coding RNA of Nasonia vitripennis (jewel wasp), 877 nucleotides long. RefSeq lists it as uncharacterized. Lineage: Eukaryota; Metazoa; Arthropoda; Insecta; Hymenoptera; Pteromalidae. The record is from RefSeq and is a predicted model, not a curated record. The transcript has 4 exons.
UUUAUGCAGGUACAUAUUUAUCAAAUUAAACCCAAGGAGCAAUGUAAAUGUGGUUGUUAUGGCCAAAGUAAUCAUUGAGCGUGCACUCUGAUGCUGUAUCUUGCUUCUUAAGGGAGUCUCACUGCAUAUGCAUAUCACAACAAUGUAAAUGUAUAUGUUUUUGCGCUUAUACAGUAAAUGUUAUAUACACAGUGUGUAGUACAUUGUUGCUGUUUGAAAAAAAAACAUUAGUGUCUUUAAACAAACUGAGAUUUAUAGUGAUAAGUUUCGUAAUGGCUAAACUAAAAUACGCCUGUAUUAUCACAGAAGAUGAUCCAAUAAAAAGGUACUGCAAACCAGUAGAUGUGAUCUACAAAUCAAAAAAGGAUAGGAAUCAUAUUUCCCCAUCUAAUCUACAAGACUUUGAUGAAAAGCAAGUCUAUCGAGUGUAUUGGAGGUCGUGUGGAAGCAACUAUAAAAUACAAGAUAAUUGUUGCACAUUUUAUAAAGCACAUAUAAUCAGUCUGGGAGAAUCUGAAGAAGAUGCCCGAAAAGCAGCUGAUAAAAGACAAAAAUGAUUCAGAUUAAAAAAAAACGUAUGGAGGUGGUGAAUCAACUGAAAGUACGGUUGAGGAGGAAGUAAAAUCAUCUCAAUCAAGUAAACUUUCGACAAAGAAAGGAAAUAUUAUUAACUCCAGUAAUGUUAUUCAAAAGUACAAAAAGAGCAUUUUGUUACAAACCAGAAAAGAGCUUUGUCUCGAUGAUGCAAAUGAUGGUGAUAAAUCUACAGAUGAAGGGGUAAUAAAAAAAGGCGCUUAUCAGAAAUGUGUGAAAAUAUUAGUUUUGGAGCAUCUGGUGAUUACACAAAGUUAGUAACAUUAAGGAGCCACGCGUUGUU